AGAUUGAACGCUAGCGGCAUGCCUAACACAUGCAAGUCGAACGGUAACAGGCCCUUCGGGGUGCUGACGAGUGGCGGACGGGUGAGUAAUGCGUAGGAAUCUACCCACGAGUGGGGGAUAGCCCGGAGAAAUCCGGAUUAAUACCGCAUAUGCCCUACGGGGUAAAGCGGGGGAUCGUAAGACCUCGCGCUGGUGGAUGAGCCUACGUCCGAUUAGUUAGUUGGUGGGGUAAAGGCCUACCAAGGCUACGAUCGGUAGCUGGUCUGAGAGGACGACCAGCCACACUGGGACUGAGACACGGCCCAGACUCCUACGGGAGGCAGC
Molecule: ribosomal RNA, 324 nt
Filed under: uncultured prokaryote
Description: bacterial SSU rRNA
Rfam family: Bacterial small subunit ribosomal RNA
Source: RNAcentral